RNAcentral lists this ribosomal RNA (253 nucleotides) under uncultured bacterium. Its description in RNAcentral is "partial 16S ribosomal RNA". It matches the Rfam family "Bacterial small subunit ribosomal RNA", at positions 524 to 776 of the family's 1533-position model. The record is from RNAcentral.
GACGUAGGGCGCGAGCGUUGUCCGGAUUUAUUGGGCGUAAAGGGCGCGUAGGCGGCCUUCUAAGUCGAACGUGAAAUCCCCGGGCUCAACCCGGGAACUGCGCCCGAUACUGGAAGGCUUGAAUCCGGGAGAGGGAUGCGGAAUUCCAGGUGUAGCGGUGAAAUGCGUAGAUAUCUGGAGGAACACCGGUGGCGAAGGCGGCAUCCUGGACCGGUAUUGACGCUGAGGCGCGAAAGCCAGGGGAGCAAACGGG